RNAcentral lists this long non-coding RNA (817 nucleotides) under Olea europaea subsp. europaea. The record is from RNAcentral. Lineage: Eukaryota; Viridiplantae; Streptophyta; Magnoliopsida; Lamiales; Oleaceae.
UGGAUUUUAUUAUCAAUUGCUUUUAAAGUUAAAUUUAGUUCAGUUAAAUUAUUUUGAAAGCUUGUUAUAUUCUUAUUACAUGUUUCAGUAUAGUUAAAGUUAUUUUUAAAAAUCACUAGAAAGUACCAAGGUGAUUUUACCUCAUUUUGCACUGAUGUGAAUGUGUUUCCACAGUGUAUGACUAGUUAUAGUGAUUUUACCCGCUCUACACCAUCGUGAAUGUGUUUCCAUAGUGCAUGACCAGAAUAUCAGAGAUCUUUGGGACCCACUCUCGUACACACAUAGGCUUUGGGUCGUGUACUAGGGUGAUUAGCCUUUGGAGCAGCUCUGCGUACGUAUGACUAGAUUAUCAGAUUAUCAGAUUUGAAUGGCUUUGCCUUGUACAUCGAGAUUACUCUGUACAUGAGUAAGGCUAUUCAUUGGGUACUUUUUUUGGUGUGAUUUUUCAGUAUUUAUUCAGUUCUCAGACUUCAGAUUAUGGAAUUCAGUUAAUUCAGUUCUCACAAUAAAGCUUUCAUCUUAAAGUAUUGAGCAGGAGCAAUAUUUCAUAGAUUUUCAUGAAUAUCAAAUUCUUUAUAUUUGUUGUACCUUAUAGAUACUUUUCUAGAAUUUAGAACAAAGAAUUUUAUAAUGUAAUUAUGUUUAGUUUUUAAAAGGGUAAUUGGCACAAAACAUCCAUACCUUUCAAGUUUAUUGUGGAAAACGUCCAUACCUUUCAUUUUUUGGCAUUUUUGCCCUCAUUUCAACAUUUCUUUGCGCUGGACAUCCUUCCGUCCAUAUUCCGUCAGUUUUUCCGUUAAUUAAAGGGUAAUUGGCA